UAACGGCUAGGAAACGGUCGCUAACUACCGAAUACGCUCCGAUUUCAACUUCGGGGGAAAGGUGGCCUCUGCUUGCAAGCUACUGCUCAUGGAUGAAGUCCGCGUCCCAUUAGCUAGUUGGUGGGGUAACGGCCCACCAAGGCGACGAUGGGUAGCCGGUCUGAGAGGAUGACCGGCCACACUGGGACUGGAACACGGCCCAGACUCCUACGGGAGGCAGCAGUGGGGAAUAUUGCGCAAUGGGCGAAAGCCUGACGCAGCGACGCCGCGUGAGGGAUGAAGGUCCUCGGAUCGCAAACCUCUGUCAGGAGGGAAGAACCGCCACGGUGCUAAUCAGCCGUGGUCUGACGGUACCUCCAAAGGAAGCACCGGCUAACUCCGUGCCAGCCGCCGC
RNAcentral lists this ribosomal RNA (394 nucleotides) under uncultured bacterium. RNAcentral's name for it is "bacterial SSU rRNA". It matches the Rfam family "Bacterial small subunit ribosomal RNA", at positions 144 to 518 of the family's 1533-position model. The record is from RNAcentral.